GCCGUAGUGACGGAAUUGGUAGACGUGCUAGUUUCAGGGACUAGUUUCCGCAAGGGAGUGGGAGUUCGAGUCUCCCCUACGGCACCA
This 87-nucleotide transfer RNA is filed under the name bacterium. RNAcentral describes it as "tRNA-Leu". It matches the Rfam family "tRNA". From Rfam's summary of the family: Transfer RNA (tRNA) molecules are approximately 80 nucleotides in length. Their secondary structure includes four short double-helical elements and three loops (D, anti-codon, and T loops). RNAcentral also lists the same sequence under 1 other name. The record is from RNAcentral.